GAUGAACGCUGGCGGCGUGCCUAAUACAUGCAAGUCGAGCGAACGGACGAGAAGCUUGCUUCUCUGAUGUUAGCGGCGGACGGGUGAGUAACACGUGGAUAACCUACCUAUAAUACUGGGAUAACUUCGGGAAACCGGAGCUAAUACCGGAUAAUAUUUUGAACCGCAGGGUUCAAAAGUGAAAGACGGUUUGGCUGUCACUUAUAGAUGGAUCAGCGCUGCAUUAGCUAGUUGGUAAGGUAACGGCUUACCAAGGCAACGAUGCAUAGCCGACCUGAGAGGGUGAUCGGCCACACUGGAACUGAGACACGGUCCAGACUCCUACGGGAGGCAGCAGUAGGGAAUCUUCCGCAAUGGGCGCAAGCCUGACGGAGCAACGCCGCGUGAGUGAUGAAGGUCUUCGGAUCGUAAAACUCUGUUAUUAGGGAAGAACAUAUGUGUAAGUAACUGUGCACAUCUUGACGGUACCUAAUCAGAAAGCCACGGCUAACUACGUG
Molecule: ribosomal RNA, 497 nt
Filed under: uncultured bacterium
Lineage: Bacteria
Description: partial 16S ribosomal RNA
Rfam family: Bacterial small subunit ribosomal RNA
Source: RNAcentral